This 287-nucleotide long non-coding RNA is filed under the name Brassica rapa (field mustard). Its description in RNAcentral is "long non-coding RNA (BRAP_LNC004302)". The record is from RNAcentral. Lineage: Eukaryota; Viridiplantae; Streptophyta; Magnoliopsida; Brassicales; Brassicaceae.
UUGUCACGGCUUGGCUUGUGAGGCUUCCCUGCCAACACUCUCCAAACCAUUCUAGCCAUGCUCUCUUCCUUAGGGACAUCGUAUAGAAUAGGGAUGGAUGAUUCCUCUAAAUCCUUAAGACCAAGCGCUUGUCCAAUUUCCUUGAAGGUCAUGUUGUAAACUUUUCCAUGUACCUUGAACUUGAUCCACCUCGUUUGUCUCUAAUCUCAAGGUCAAACUCUUGUAGCAGCAAGAUCCACCUCAACAGCCUCGGCUUAGCAUCCUUCUUGGCCAUGAGGUGUCUCAAU